This 207-nucleotide ribosomal RNA is filed under the name uncultured bacterium. RNAcentral's name for it is "partial 16S ribosomal RNA". It matches the Rfam family "Bacterial small subunit ribosomal RNA", at positions 568 to 774 of the family's 1533-position model. The record is from RNAcentral.
CAUCUAGGCGGUCAAUCAAGUCGAAGGUGAAAACUUGUGGCUCAACCAUAAGCUUGCCUACGAAACUGAUUAACUAGAGUAUUGGAGAGGUGGACGGAACUACACGAGUAGAGGUGAAAUUCGUAGAUAUGUGUAGGAAUGCCGAUGAUGAAGAUAGUUCACUGGACAGAAACUGACGCUGAAGUGCGAAAGCUAGGGGAGCAAACA